Molecule: long non-coding RNA, 769 nt
Organism: Drosophila pseudoobscura
Lineage: Eukaryota; Metazoa; Arthropoda; Insecta; Diptera; Drosophilidae
Exons: 3
Source: RefSeq, a predicted model, not a curated record
UCGGCUGUCGAUUUUCUAAUCGAGCCACCGUUAAUCUAUCAUACUCUGGCUGAGCAACCUCGUCUCAAACAUUGCUGACUUGAACGUUAAUCAAGAAUGAUUAUCAACAGCAGCAAUAGAAAUACAUACAUAUGUAUGUAGCUAUUUUCACGGGCUACUAGUAAGGCGGAUUGGCUUAUCACCUGUCAACCAGAUCUGUCACGUAAGCAAAACAAAUCGAAAACACUUUCAAUAUAAUUGCAAAAAUAUUUGAAACCAUAUUCGUUGCCGAUCCAUUGGCUCAGCCCCGGUCGCUUUCCUUUCUUGGAGGUGGGCUACACAGUGCACACACAAGUCAAGACGGAGUGUGGGGUCUGAUCUGCUUAUUCAAAGCAAAUGUAUAGCAAACGGCAUUUGCGUAGGCUCAAUAAAGAAAUAUAAGACAAAUAUGCAGCCAAACAUAAUCGUGCUAGCGGAGAAACAGUGUCGUGCAGUGAAAUAGAAAAAGUUGAAGGCCGCGAAAUAGGAGAGACAAUCGACGAAAAUGAAACAAAUGGAAAGUGACACUGAAAAAUUUAAAGAACUUCUUUAGAGUUUUGAUUGAUGCCAUAACUGUAGGUACGGGGACAGCAUCAGCUGAAGUCCAGAUUAGGAAAGCCCUACAGCUGCAAAAAAAACGUUUUUUCAAAAACAGUACCACCGCGAACAGCAGACCUUAAUUAGUAAAUUUAAAAACUUAAAUGAAAUAUGUACAUAUAUAAUAAAAUACAAAUUUAAAUAUGAAAUUAAA